GCUUGUGGCCAUACCACCAUGAACACGCCUGUUCAGGGUCGGGCCUGGUUAGUACUGGGACAGCCUGGGAAUACCAGGUGCCGUAAACC
Molecule: ribosomal RNA, 89 nt
Filed under: Salmo salar (Atlantic salmon)
Lineage: Eukaryota; Metazoa; Chordata; Actinopteri; Salmoniformes; Salmonidae
Source: RNAcentral